UACGUAGGGUGCAAGCGUUGUCCGGAAUUAUUGGGCGUAAAGAGCUCGUAGGCGGUCUGUCACGUCGGCUGUGAAAACCCGGGGCUCAACCCCGGGCCUGCAGUCGAUACGGGCAGACUAGAGUGCGGUAGGGGAGACUGGAAUUCCUGGUGUAGCGGUGAAAUGCGCAGAUAUCAGGAGGAACACCGGUGGCGAAGGCGGCCCGCUGGGCAGGAAGGCUCGCAAGAGCCGGCUGGCGCUGAGGCGCGACAGCGUGGGGAGCAAACAGG
RNAcentral lists this ribosomal RNA (269 nucleotides) under uncultured bacterium. RNAcentral describes it as "partial 16S ribosomal RNA". It matches the Rfam family "Bacterial small subunit ribosomal RNA", at positions 524 to 776 of the family's 1533-position model. The record is from RNAcentral.